CUAAAGGUGUAGAUGGAAAAAAGUAGGGUUGCAGAUAUCCUCGCAGAGAGCCGGUGGCGGGUGUAAACCGGCAGGUGAUGCAGCGUGAAGUUCUUUCCUGAACUGCAAGGCUGAACCGUUACAGUAGGCCGAGCCGGUGUGGCAGCCGUUAUGAGCGCUAUGAGUUGAUCCGAUUCGAGAUUAUUAGGGUGGUACCGCGGAAUUUUCCGUCCCUUGC
RNAcentral lists this non-coding RNA (217 nucleotides) under Megasphaera cerevisiae. RNAcentral's name for it is "T-box sequence". It matches the Rfam family "T-box leader". Rfam says of the family: Uncharged tRNA acts as the effector for transcription antitermination of genes in the T-box leader family. Lineage: Bacteria; Bacillati; Bacillota; Negativicutes; Veillonellales; Veillonellaceae. The record is from RNAcentral.